UCCCUGCUGGCUUAGAGGGUAAAGCAUCCACCUGCAAGGCGGAAGACCUGGGUUCGAUCCCUGGGUCAGGAA
This 72-nucleotide transfer RNA is filed under the name Bos taurus (domestic cattle). It matches the Rfam family "tRNA". From Rfam's summary of the family: Transfer RNA (tRNA) molecules are approximately 80 nucleotides in length. RNAcentral also lists the same sequence under 1 other name. The record is from Rfam by way of RNAcentral. Lineage: Eukaryota; Metazoa; Chordata; Mammalia; Artiodactyla; Bovidae.